UAGUUUAAAUGAUGAAAACGACAUAUUUACCAGUUAUCCCUGUCAGACAAUGAUGUGGUGAUACAAUUAUUCUGAUAUGAUA
Molecule: small nucleolar RNA, 82 nt
Filed under: Bemisia tabaci
Lineage: Eukaryota; Metazoa; Arthropoda; Insecta; Hemiptera; Aleyrodidae
Description: small nucleolar RNA R38
Rfam family: Small nucleolar RNA R38
About the family: snoR38 is a C/D box small nucleolar RNA conserved across yeast, human, Arabidopsis and rice. It is encoded in the intron of elongation factor-1 gamma in both pombe and cerevisiae. snoR38 guides the methylation of 2'-O-ribose sites in 28S rRNA.
Source: RNAcentral